GGCGCAUUAUUUUAGCUACGCCCGGCGGGCCCCGGCGCCGGCCGCCCGGAAUGCGGCCUCCGCCCCGCCGCGCGUUGCCGGCGCCGAGAGCACCGCGCGUAGCGUAAUAAAUAAAGGCGGGGCACCGCUGCGUGCGCGCGCACCCUCCCGCGCCCUCCUCGCCCUCGGGUCAUUGACUCGGGCUCGGCCACCGCCGCUACAACCGUAGCAGUCGACGCUGCUGAAGACAACAAUUCUAAAAAGCGGUAGUACCCAUGCUCUUGGCCUCGGAACUCUGUAGGGCCUCAAUAUUUCCAAUGUCAAUGCCGUUAGUUACGCGUCGCCACAGCGGAAGUGCUACACCCUGCAUGCGUGACUCGUGAGACGCCUCGGCGAAGACAUCACUCAGUUAAGUACCUGCUAUAUUGCAGAAGGGAUAUUGACCUCAAUGAUCACACCUGGUGCUGUUAAUAUGGCUUUCUUCAACUUGGGACCAGAAUGUAGCAGCCACAUGCCAGUUACUGCGAGGAACAUGGUGAAAACGGAAAUAGAGAAACUGUCAGUAACAACAAGCGCUAGCGAAUGCACGCGUAAUUUACAAUGAAGGUAAAUAAUACCGCGAGGAAGGACAAGUGAACUAAUUAGGCGUUGUAAUUAGCCUCGGACCUGAUUGAUUAUAAAAACUAUCAACACGAUUCAUUCAUCCCGCCUCUGAUGUAACCGUCUUAUGAAAAAGUUAAGAGAACAAAGAAAAUAAACAAACAUACCAGCAUCCUGUACGGCGAGAGGCGCUGACAUUUGCCAUCAUCGUAAAGACGUCGUCUUGAUCCAUCAAUGCUAGACAGAAGAUAGUUGCCAAUCAGAUCACUAAUUAUAGUAUUGAACGGGAGUGACGGCCUGAUUGAAAACAAGAAGAAUUUUAUUUGAAAUAAUAAA
Long non-coding RNA from Vanessa atalanta (red admiral), 915 nucleotides. RefSeq lists it as uncharacterized. The transcript has 6 exons. The record is from RefSeq and is a predicted model, not a curated record. Lineage: Eukaryota; Metazoa; Arthropoda; Insecta; Lepidoptera; Nymphalidae.